AGAGUUUGAUCAUGGCUCAGAUUGAACGCUGGCGGCAGGCCUAACACAUGCAAGUCGAACGGUAACAGGAAGCAGCUUGCUGCUUCGCUGACGAGUGGCGGACGGGUGAGUAAUGUCUGGGAAACUGCCUGAUGGAGGGGGAUAACUACUGGAAACGGUGGCUAAUACCGCAUAACGUCGCAAGACCAAAGAGGGGGACCUUCGGGCCUCUUGCCAUCAGAUGUGCCCAGAUGGGAUUAGCUUGUUGGUGAGGUAACGGCUCACCAAGGCGACGAUCCCUAGCUGGUCUGAGAGGAUGACCAGCCACACUGGAACUGAGACACGGUCCAGACUCCUACGGGAGGCAGCAGUGGGGAAUAUUGCACAAUGGGCGCAAGCCUGAUGCAGCCAUGCCGCGUGUAUGAAGAAGGCCUUCGGGUUGUAAAGUACUUUCAGCGGGGAGGAAGGUGUUGCGGUUAAUAACCGCAGCAAUUGACGUUACCCGCAGAAGAAGCACCGGCUAACUCCGUGCCAGCAGCCGCGGUAAUACGGAGGGUGCAAGCGUUAAUCGGAAUUACUGGGCGUAAAGCGCACGCAGGCGGUCUGUCAAGUCGGAUGUGAAAUCCCCGGGCUCAACCUGGGAACUGCAUUCGAAACUGGCAGGCUUGAGUCUUGUAGAGGGGGGUAGAAUUCCAGGUGUAGCGGUGAAAUGCGUAGAGAUCUGGAGGAAUACCGGUGGCGAAGGCGGCCCCCUGGACAAAGACUGACGCUCAGGUGCGAAAGCGUGGGGAGCAAACAGGAUUAGAUACCCUGGUAGUCCACGCCGUAAACGAUGUCUACUUGGAGGUUGUGCCCUUGAGGCGUGGCUUCCGGAGCUAACGCGUUAAGUAGACCGCCUGGGGAGUACGGCCGCAAGGUUAAAACUCAAAUGAAUUGACGGGGGCCCGCACAAGCGGUGGAGCAUGUGGUUUAAUUCGAUGCAACGCGAAGAACCUUACCUGGUCUUGACAUCCACAGAACUUUCCAGAGAUGGACUGGUGCCUUCGGGAACUGUGAGACAGGUGCUGCAUGGCUGUCGUCAGCUCGUGUUGUGAAAUGUUGGGUUAAGUCCCGCAACGAGCGCAACCCUUAUCCUUUGUUGCCAGCGGUUAGGCCGGGAACUCAAAGGAGACUGCCAGUGAUAAACUGGAGGAAGGUGGGGAUGACGUCAAGUCAUCAUGGCCCUUACGACCAGGGCUACACACGUGCUACAAUGGCGCAUACAAAGAGAAGCGACCUCGCGAGAGCAAGCGGACCUCAUAAAGUGCGUCGUAGUCCGGAUUGGAGUCUGCAACUCGACUCCAUGAAGUCGGAAUCGCUAGUAAUCGUGGAUCAGAAUGCCACGGUGAAUACGUUCCCGGGCCUUGUACACACCGCCCGUCACACCAUGGGAGUGGGUUGCAAAAGAAGUAGGUAGCUUAACCUUCGGGAGGGCGCUUACCACUUUGUGAUUCAUGACUGGGGUGAAGUCGUAACAAGGUAACCGUAGGGGAACCUGCGGUUG
This 1522-nucleotide ribosomal RNA is filed under the name Salmonella enterica. RNAcentral's name for it is "bacterial SSU rRNA". It matches the Rfam family "Bacterial small subunit ribosomal RNA". The record is from RNAcentral. Lineage: Bacteria; Pseudomonadati; Pseudomonadota; Gammaproteobacteria; Enterobacterales; Enterobacteriaceae. RNAcentral also lists the same sequence under 2 other names.